UUAUUAUUAAAAAACUACGAAUAAUCAUCUUGAAAUUAUAGAAUUUAAAUAGAAUUAAAAAUUAAACACACGUAUAAUUUUUAUUUAUUUUUUCUAUCUACGUAUCACGAAUAAAAGAAACAACUAAAUAAAAAGACAAUUGCUCUAUCUGUAGGUAUAUGUAAGAAAUUAACCAAUCACCGUAGAUAUUAGAAAAAAGUUGUAGGACUCUCUAUAAAAAGAAUAACCUGUGGCGUUCAAUCUUAAUGCAAUCACAGAUAAUAUGUUACUUGUAUAAUUGUUUGUAAUCUUCUAUAGAGGUUAAUAUACACAGAAAAUUGUAUUAAUCCUUUCGUUAUGUCAGUGAAACAGCUGCCAUUAUACGGGGUGUCAAAACGCGAACGUGCACUUCACAAAUGAGAACAUAUUCGUGUUUUUUAUCACGAACCGAACGUAUAUUUCACCGCUGACAGGUCACGUCAUAUAAAUUAUUGGUUUCUUAUUCAAGUUGCAUCGAACUAUGUAAUAUAACCAAAGUUAUAAAUCAAUACGAAAUUUUAAUGGAUGACUCACUGAAAAUCACCGAUAAUAUUACAUGGACGGAUGCAUCGUGUGUUUCGAAUUUUGUUUCGGUAACCUUUCGACGACAUCUUCCUCGACGUCUCUCGAAAUUUGAUUCCACUUAUCGUUAUUUUCUGUAUCGUCGUUCUCAUGAACGGAAUCUUUCCUAUAACAUGUAAUAGAAUAUACACUAAUAUAAAUAGGAUAUAUAAACGAUAGAAAAUUAGUGUUAUUUUGAUUAAUCGAUUCGAUUGUUAACUAACGUGUACUUAUUAAUAGAGGGCAGGAACAACGAUUUAGGACAAUCUUUGAAAUACGGCCAACACUCCCCGUGUAAUUUCCCUCUAUUUUCAGCUUCCACGUAUUCGUUGAGAAUAUUUGCAAAUGGCGACUUGCUAGCCCUAAAAAAUGAAAAACGUUAGAUAGAAAAAAAGUCAAUCGAUAGAUAGAAAAGCGAUCUUACGUGAGAAAUAGUUUCAACAUUUCGCCGAUCAGGCCGAAAUUGUUGAGAGGAUGACCAUGAACUUCACAGAUCGCUCGCAAUAAGCAAGCUUUUCCAUUUAAACCCAAAGUGCUUAACAUAUCCUCGGCUGUGCCGUAAAGAAGAGCUCUUUCACCACCGUGAAACGCAUCUUUUGGAAUUUCUAUGGUGUCCCUUUUGUGAAGUCUUCGUUUUAUGAAGGCAGCUAUGAAAUCUGCCAUAAUCAUGCCAGCUUUUCGACCGCGGGCACUUCUAUCGAAUGCCGAUGGCAAAGCACCAUAAGGAUUUUCAUUAUCUGUUAGGCCUAAUUUAUCGAAGUCGACUGUAAAAAAGGGAAAUGUAAUCAUUCUAGCAUAUGUACAUGUCAUAUGAGCCGUUCAUUUGUCAAAGUGAUAUAUUUCAUAAAACAAAAAAUCGAAUAAAUUUAUAUACACUGUUUUUUAAAAAUUUCUUAUAAAAUAUACAUCGUAGAAUGUAUGUAGCUUUCGUGUAACAUCUGUAAUGCAUAAAAUUAUCAUUAAUUUUAAGUUAAUAAUAAUUAAAAAUUAAGUAAUAAAUUAUUUAUUAAUCAACUUAUUUAUUAGUCACCGAUACAAAGCUCUUGUCAUUUAGUAAUGUCGAAUGUGAUUAUCAAUUUAAAUAUAUAUAAAAAAUUAAGUACCGAUCAAGUGCUUCGGUAGUAAAAUUUUCAAAAGUUCAAAAAAUAGAAUUAAUUGCUUUGACCUGUGAACGGUUCAUGUCAUGAUCGUUAAAAAGUUUUACUCACUCGUAAAAGGAAGACUAAUAGUCAUAUUGCUCAAAAAGCCGUAAGGUGGAUAUCUAACGAAGGGUAGUGCCAAUGUAGGUGUAAUCGUCAUUACCGUGCCAGGUGGUAAAGCUAUGCGACCGUCGUUCGUUAUCCAAAGGACUCUUUUUUGUCGAUGAUGAUUGCCAUCGCCGUACUCGUUUCCAGAACUGGAAUACGAUCGUUUUAAAACGAGUAGACCGAGCAAUAGUACAAGAGUCUUCCUCGUCAUAUCGACCCUUUGCCAAAUUCUGUAAUAGAAACUUUUCUUCUUAAUUUUAAUUUUAAUAUCAUUCUCGAUUUUACGAAGAGCAUGCUGAAUAUAAAUCGUGAUUUAGAACUUCGAAAAAUAGUUACAUUUGAUUACGAUAAAUAAACAAAUGUAUUCAUUCAUUCAAAUGGAAAGAAAGCGGGUUGAAUGAAGAGACGCUUAAAGUGACUACGCGUUACGAGAGAGACAUUCAUUACUUUUACAGCUAAAAUGCAUACUCACGUUUAACGUUUAAAUUACAAUCACGAUUUAUAACACGACUUACGAAUUCGAUCAGUUCGUAUCUAAAGAAGCAUUCGUUAUUUGCGUUUCUGAACGUUACAAUAAAUCGAUUGUUAUAACGUGACGAGAAUUAUAAUGCUUUCAUUUGUAAUACUUUCGAAUUUUUUCCUCUACUUAUAAAUUAGAUGAAAUCUUGAAAAAAGAAAAAAAAAAAAGAAAAACAAGGAACGAGAAUGAUGAAUAGUGAAGUUAAAAGUAUUCUUGUUUUUAAAUAUGUUUCCUUUUUAUUUUUCUUUAAUUACCUAAUUCUAAGCUAUCUCUGACGUAUGACGAUGUGUUUAUGAAAUUAAUCAAUAAAUGUCUAACGUUUGAUGGUUCCAAGAAAACAAUAAUCGUCAUGAUUGAUCUACGAGCGUGUUUUUUUGUCACUCUUAGUACUGUAAGCGUACCUUACGAGUAUAACUAGUCGAGCGAGUGACCAGUUUGCGGACGCAAAGUCGCUUCGAUGUAACAGUAUGUAAUAGCCUGCGAAAUCAUAGCCGAGAGUGACCAGGCCAGUGGGAUUCGCCCUAGAAAGAAGUCCAGGUGUACUUUAUGCCCGGAAAAAUUUGUUCGUGCUGUAAAAGCUUAACGUUACAUGUUUACAAUAUAUGGAUAUCACAUCAAUGUAUCCAUUAACAGAUUAAUCGUUUCGAAAGUGAUCGGUGACCGAUAAUCGAGUAUCGACAAUAGUAACUUUCAUUGGAGUUGUUUACUACGUUUCUUUAGAUUAUAAAAAUUCUUGACAAUUAUUCAUUAUUAUUAUUCAAUCAUCAUCAUUAUUAUUUGCUUAAUAUAUAAUUUAUAUAAAAAUCGUUAACGUUGCUAAGAUUUUCGAUGAUUAAGUUAAUAUAUUAUGACCGCCAUAAUGAUUAUCAGGGAGGGACGAACAAAUAAAUAUAUUGUUAUAUUUUGGUGCAAUCCAAUAUUAUCAUUCAAUUCAGUAUUCUAUUGUUCUCUUUAAUACGUGGUACGGCGUGGGUAGAAAAUUUGUUAAAAUACGCUUGACGAUGAAUGUGUUCUGUUCUCAUUUGGUGUCAACCUAGGGGAAACCCUUUACUCGUACGAAGACGCUGCGUGCGAAGACGACGUGACCGUCGAUAUAACGGCCAUCACCGAACUCGGCGAGAAAGACCGCGAGGAAAAAGUAAGAGGAGGAUAAGGAGGAGGAGUAAGAGGAGGAAGUAGUGAAGAGUCGAACGAGCACCGCAAGAAUACAAAUUCCAACGACCUGCAUAUUUCGACGUAUCUUCUUGAAUUGGGCCGGUACUAAACGAAUCGAACGACUUUGCAAUUAAGUAUUCGUGAAUCGAUGCUUAUUUUUGGCUGGACACCGUUAAGUCUUGAUUCUUGAAUAUAAAACCGGGUCAAAUACAGUUUUUUAUUUUCUUUUUCUUUUGCGUUAGCACUAUCAUCGUUCUUUCCUUUUUGUCUACGUGGCUAAAUUUACGUAUUACUAAAUUAUUUCCAAAUCUAAUAUUUCUCGUUUUUUUUUUUUAGAUAUAACAUUUAUAGGCAGGCAUGUAUCUGUAGAUCGAGUUAUUUCGUUAUGGGGUUUCGCUAUGGCAUAAUCUGUGCCUCGAAUUUAGCGCUGAUGCGCCGUAAUAGCGCACAUGAAUAAUACUACUAUGCGAUAUGAUGGUAUAUAAUUACGGUUGCGAUGGUAUGAUGAUUCAAACCGCGGGUGAAAGAUAUCUACCAGUACACGAAUUUAAGUCAAGUUAAUAGAUUUAAGAACGGUUUGAUUUAUAUCUGGAGAAGGAAAAAGAAAAAGGAUGGAAAAGAUACAAAAGGGCUACAGCCGCAGUUAUAAUGAAAUGAAAUAUUUUUAAAUGGAUGUUAAAGUUCUGUUUUCUUUUUUAUUUUUUUUUCCUGUUACGAUCGAUAACGGUAUUUGUUCGAGCCACUCGAAUAUCGGUACCCGAUCCAAAUAUCACGAGGACAGCCUGUUUGUUUUACGAUCGAAGGUGAAUCGAAGCCAAAAGAAACGUUGAAAAUUUCCUCCGAAGUUGCAGUGUAAUAAAAAAGAAAAAAAAAAAAAA
Molecule: long non-coding RNA, 4379 nt
Organism: Vespula vulgaris
Lineage: Eukaryota; Metazoa; Arthropoda; Insecta; Hymenoptera; Vespidae
Exons: 2
Source: RefSeq, a predicted model, not a curated record